UUGCUUGGCCCUUUUCUUCGAAUAAGAUAGCUCCACAGUAAAGAUCACUUGCCUCAAUCAGCAAUCAAUCUGCUUUUUCCUUUGUAUGCCUUCCUUCGGCAAAAGGAAUUAACGAUUCUCCCCCUCUGGAAGGGUAAGGUUCCAAUUGAUAGCUAUUCUGGCAUUCCUAACACUAACAGAAGCAUUUACUAGCCUGAGAGGUCUGGAUGACAGGAAAGAAAUAAAAAGACGUUACCAAAAUAGGGUUCAUUAGCCUCCAGCCGAGGGAGAAUUCUGGCUUGUUCCUCCAAGUCGUAUAUAUAUAUCUAUAUAAUAUAGAGUUCGUCCAUUCGGGAAGGGGAUGGCUGCCCACAUACAUGAAUAGAAUCAGAGAUCUUAUAGACUCCGGAUUGAUACUAUAGGACAUGGGAACCCAGAGAAAGAAGGAUUUUGACUCUAGAGGACAUAGGAAACCAGAGGUUAGAGAACGAGCAAAGGCAAAAUAUAGUAAGCAACCACAUUCUUGUUUAGGGAUGUCUUGCCUCUCUUCAAUGGUUGCGGGAAAGAGAGAAGGGUUCAGGGAAUCUGAAGGUAUAGCUUAGAACACCGACUGCGCUAAAGGAAGAAUACCGGAGUGGCCCGUCCAAGAACCGAUGAUUUGCGCUUUACCUAUAUGGAAUUGAGUAUAGUGGUAGUCGAAAGGAGACGCACUACUUACUGCCGAACACUGGUUCCUGUAAGUCUGGGUCUAGGGCAUCUGGUCCCACUAUAGUUUGCUUCAGGCGGUAGCGCAUCUCCGUCUUAAGGGAGGCGGCAACAAUAUAACCUUUCUUUUUGGCUGUGGACUUUGAUAGCAUAAGACCACGUGGAAGGGUAAUGCCAUAAAGUUCCCCUGGAGACCACGGAAAAGGAAGCGCCUAGUGGCUAAGUAGUUCAGGUCUGGGCCAAGUAUGGAUAUAGCAGGCAUCGAAAAGGCAUUGGCUCACACAGUCCAAAACAAGCUCCUGUACCGGCACUACCAUUAGAGUUCGAAGGUUUAUACCUAUACUGGGGCAAUCUCAUGAAUUGGGUGGGAAUUCCUCUUAUUCAAUCCAUUGUGCCUAGGCGUGUGUGGAGAAGUAAAUGUAUGCCCGCGCAUUCAUAUGUUCGGGUGUGCAUGCCCGCAAGGUUCGGCUGUUUUGAGACGUACGCUCGGCCUAUUUCUUGGUGGAUCAACCAGUGGCUGCUAGAAUAGGUCUUAGUGCUCCAUCAAAGCAGGAAUGAUCUGUCAGUUGGGUAUAACAUGGAAAGCAUUAAUAAGGCAAUCAACAUUGUGAGUGGAUUAGUCAGUUCCUCUGUAUGAAGCCAUGAGAGCAUGCCAAGGAUAGAUUAACGAUGAAACCACAAAAAGGCAAUACUUCCUCUGCUAUGGGGCGAAAGAGAAGAUAAGAAUCGACUUGCACAAAAAAACCUCUGCUGACCCUUACGAAACUAUUCUUUACAAGCUCUUCACCUUCCAUUAAGAGAGUUCUAGUAUACCACCAAGCAUAGAGGUCUAUUAUCACGUUCUUAUUGAUGGCUCUUUAUUGAAUCGUAAGCUCCCUUUGCUUUCACAUGACAUUUGAUGGUUAUUAUCUAUGCACCUUCUACUUUAGCCAGAUGACUUUUCACUUUCAUUCACUUUCUGCAGCUAGUCAAGCAAGCACUAUUGCAAACUCCAACUAUCAAAACCGUUUAUGUCAAGGUUAAUGAAUGAUUCCAGGAUGGGGGAAUAACCAUAUUCUUUGUUGGCUCGCGAUCAAUGGCUCUAUGGACGUAUUCGUAUUCUAUUGUUCGAAUUUCAUGCACGCAUGCGACCUAGAAACCCACCCCCCUCUUUCCUAGACCCAUGUCCUAUUCUCCACAAGCUGGACUCCCAGCCGAGCAAGAUCCACAAUGUUCGAAAGUUGCUUUGAAGGAAGGCUAUACCACCAAGCCAAGCUCUCCCUGAGGAAAAAUAGACUCCUCUUGAGACGCUAUAGCUAUUGCUGCAGAGCCUAGUUGAACCGAUGAAACCGAAAUCCGUUAUCGUAGUUGGACCAGCGUCACUGGUAUAGUAGGCUACCUACAUAUGCCCAGAAACAGGGAGUCGGGUGCUAUUCCAUAGUUAGCCAGAUCUAGUGUAUUACAUGAUGUGCUACGCCUUACCUAUUCUUUUAUUAGUAGGUGAACUAGAAUCGUACCGGGGUCGCACAGAACGAGAAACAGUCAAGUUAGCCUAAAAGCAAGGUGCUGAAAGCCUAAGACCUAUUUUAGCAAGUAAGGAUCAUAGGUAAACUACAGACCGAAAGGACCAACUCUUAGGCUAACAGCAAAGAGAGGUAGGCGCAAACAGGAGAUAUAGCCUGAAAGCGGGAAGCGCUAGCGCUAGUGGGUUAAGGCCCAAAGAGAGGUAGGUUGAGAAGCAGGCUCGGUUCUGUAAAUGAAGCCUGAUUUCUGUGUUUUAGUAUUAGAAGCUGUAGACUAUAAGUCCAAGAACUCAACAUAGGCAACAGUUUUAGAGCGAGUAAAGCUAAGAUCAGGAUCUGUAAGCUAUAGCCUGAAAGCGGUAGUGCCAGUCUCAUAUGUAGAGCAGGGUUCGAGGUAAUACAGUAGAGCAAGAUCAGUAUCAGUCGGGUAAGAGUGAGUUGAGAGUUCUCGUAUGAAGGGUCGUGUUUCAAUCCGGUAGUAAGUAGCACCAUUCUUUCCAGUUUACAGAGCCGUGUUUCAAUCCGGUAGUAAGUAGCACCAUUCUUUCCGUUAGUAGUAACAUUCCUUUUAUGGGGAGUUCGCGGUUCUUUAACUAACAAGUAAGUAUGCUAGGGCAAAUCCAUAUGUUAUAGAUCGGGGGGCAGUAAGCCUAGAGACAGUAAAGCAAGGAUCCUUAGACAGUAUAGAGUAGAGCAAGGUUCGAGGACAGUGUUUGAUUCGCCAGGUAGUAGUUCAUCCUUAAAAGCACUAGUGGAGUUUGAGUUUCUAGUUAAGUUAUUUAGUAACUGUUCGAUGUUUGCUCCUAUCGGCUCAAUUAUAAUAGUACACUAGGACUAGGGUUUUGGAAGAAUUAGUAGAAUUUCUAACUUAAGAGGCUAUGUUUGAGUACACAAUCCAGUAAGCAAGCCUUGUUGACAUCAGUAUUGGUAUGAAAGCAAAGGAGCGGCAGCCCGGGCAAUAAAGAGAGAACUAAAGAGUAAAGUAUCGUUAGGCACUGUUGAGAGCCCAGUUACGAGUUAAAGUAUUUCCAGUAUUAGCUCAAUUCUGAUUAAUAGUGAUUUGAUUCUGAG
This 3257-nucleotide long non-coding RNA is filed under the name Musa acuminata (dwarf banana). Its description in RNAcentral is "long non-coding RNA (MACU_LNC008402)". The record is from RNAcentral. Lineage: Eukaryota; Viridiplantae; Streptophyta; Magnoliopsida; Zingiberales; Musaceae.